CUGCUGCCUCCCGUAGGAGUUUGGACCGUGUCUCAGUUCCAAUGUGGGGGACCUUCCUCUCAGAACCCCUAUCCAUCGAAGACUAGGUGGGCCGUUACCCCGCCUACUAUCUAAUGGAACGCAUCCCCAUCGUCUACCGGAAUACCUUUAAUCAUGUGAACAUGUGGACUCAUGAUGCCAUCUUGUAUUAAUCUUCCUUUCAGAAGGCUGUCCCAAGAGUAGACGGCAGGUUGGAUACGUGUUACUCACCCGUGCGCCGG
RNAcentral lists this ribosomal RNA (260 nucleotides) under uncultured bacterium. Its description in RNAcentral is "partial 16S ribosomal RNA". The record is from RNAcentral.